AUCCCUAACUACUUAUUCUUCCUCAUCCUCCUGUGGUAAGUUAUAAUGGGUUAGCCUUGGUGACAUAAACGUUACCGAAAAAACAGAUUUUAAAUACCUAUGCUUCAUUAUAAAAGGAUGGUAAAAGUGAGGAAGAUGCCAACCACAGAAUUAAAGCAGGAUAGGUGUGUGAAAAAUGUGACAAAGAGUCCUAUGUAGUCACAAAAUACUGGCUAAGUUAAAGGGGAAGUUUUAUCAGACCAUAGUUACACUAGCCUUUGAUGUGCAACGUGUUAGGCAGUGAAGAAACAUGUACACAUAAUUAGCAUAGCAGAAAUAAGAAUGUUAA
RNAcentral lists this unclassified non-coding RNA (328 nucleotides) under Hevea brasiliensis (rubber tree). Lineage: Eukaryota; Viridiplantae; Streptophyta; Magnoliopsida; Malpighiales; Euphorbiaceae. The record is from RNAcentral.